RNAcentral lists this ribosomal RNA (253 nucleotides) under uncultured bacterium. RNAcentral's name for it is "partial 16S ribosomal RNA". It matches the Rfam family "Bacterial small subunit ribosomal RNA", at positions 524 to 776 of the family's 1533-position model. The record is from RNAcentral.
UACGGAGGAUGCAAGCGUUAUCCGGAUUUAUUGGGUUUAAAGGGUGCGUAGGCGGAUUAAUAAGUCAGUGGUGAAAACCUGCAGCUUAACUGUAGAACUGCCAUUGAUACUGUUAGUCUUGAGUAUGGUUAAGGUAGGCGGAAUGUGUAAUGUAGCGGUGAAAUGCUUAGAUAUUACACAGAACACCGAUUGCGAAGGCAGCUUACUGGACCAUCACUGACGCUGAUGCACGAAAGCGUGGGGAGCGAACAGG